UACGAAGGGUGCAAGCGUUACUCGGAAUUACUGGGCGUAAAGCGUGCGUAGGUGGUUUGUUAAGUCUGAUGUGAAUGCCCUGGGCUCAACCUGGGAAUUGCAUUGGAUACUGGCAGGCUAGAGUGCGGUAGAGGAUGGCGGAAUUCCCGGUGUAGCAGUGAAAUGCGUAGAGAUCGGGAGGAACAUCUGUGGCGAAGGCGGCCAUCUGGACCAGCACUGACACUGAGGCACGAAAGCGUGGGGAGCAAACAGG
RNAcentral lists this ribosomal RNA (253 nucleotides) under uncultured bacterium. RNAcentral's name for it is "partial 16S ribosomal RNA". It matches the Rfam family "Bacterial small subunit ribosomal RNA", at positions 524 to 776 of the family's 1533-position model. The record is from RNAcentral.